UUUACCUGGUUGAUCCUGCCAGUAGUCAUAUGCUUGUCUCAAAGAUUAAGCCAUGCAUGUGUAAGUACACACCUUCCCUAGGGUGAAACCGCAAACGGCUCAUUAAAUCAGUCAUAAUUUACUGGAUGUCGGCUAUCCGUUACUCGGAUAACCGUGGCAAUUCUAGAGCUAAUACGUGCAAUCGAGCUCCGACGCCGAGGGUGCGGUUGCGAAACCGUUUCUCUCGGGGGAAGGGCGCAGUUAUUAGAAUCACAAACCGAGGCGGGCUCUCGAGCCCGAAACUAAACUUGGUACGUGGUGACUCUGGAUAACGUUGCCAAGCGCUUAGGCCUUCGAGCCGGCGCUGCGUCCUUCGAGUGACUGCCCUAUCAGCUUUCGAUUGUAGGAUAUACGCCUACGAUGGCUGUAACGGGUAACGGGGAAUCAGGGUUCGAUUCCGGAGAGGGAGCCUGAGAAACGGCUACCACAUCUAAGGAAGGCAGCAGGCACGCAAAUUACCCACUCCCAGUCCGGGGAGGUAGUGACGAUAAAUACCGAUGCGGGACUCAUCCGAGGCCUCGCAAUCGGAAUGAGCUCACUUUAAAAAAGUGGGCGAGGAUCGAUUGGAGGGCAAGUCUGGUGCCAGCAGCCGCGGUAAUUCCAGCUCCAAUAGCGUAUAUUAAAGUUGNUUGCGGUUAACACNNNNNNNNNNNNNNNNNNNNNNNUUUUAGAGUUGCUCAAAGCAGGCUAAAACACUUACGCCUGAAUAGCAAUGCAUUGAACGAUGGAACAGGACCUCGGUUCUGCACUGUUUUUUUUCUCGGUUUUUCCCGAACCCGAGGUAAUGAUUAACGGGAACGGUCGGGGGCAUUAGUAUUGCGACGCGAGAGGUGAAAUUCUGUGACCGUCGCAAGACUACCUACUGCGAAAGCAUUUGCCAAGAACGCUUUCAUUAAUCAAGAACGAAAGUUAGAGGAUCGAAGGCGAUCAGAUACCGCCCUAGUUCUAACCUUAAACGAUGCCAACUAGCGAUCCGCGUAACAGUCAUUCCCAAGACUGCGCGGGCAGCUCCCGGGAAACCAAAGUCUUUGGGUUCCGGGGGUAGUAUGGUUGCAAAGCUGAAACUUAAAGGAAUUGACGGAAGGGCACCACCAGGAGUGGAGCCUGCGGCUUAAUUUGACUCAACACGGGGAACCUCACCAGGCCCGGACACCGGAAGGAUUGACAGAUUGAGAGCUCUUUCUCGAUUCGGUGGUUGGUGGUGCAUGGCCGUUCUUAGUUGGUGGAGCGAUUUGUCUGGUUAAUUCCGAUAACGAACAAGACUCUGUCCUACUAACUAGUCGGCGGAUCGUUUCCCGAGACGGGUUCUCUCCCUAAUCGCGCGUUACGGGGCUGGCGGUCCGCGUCGCGGGUGUAUAGGUCGUCGCACCGAAUAAGCGCGGGCGAGGGUUCAUCCCCUCGUUGGCGCCUUCGGGCGGCGGCUGAAAGCUCGCGGCGCGGUAAUCGCGGGUCUCCGCGCGACUCUAAGGGGGGUCCUAACGAGGGGCGUCCGUCGUAUUAAUAUCUUCUUAGAGGGACCGGCGGUCUCGAGCCGUACGAGAAGGAGCAAUAACAGGUCUGUGAUGCCCUUAGAUGUCCUGGGCCGCACGCGCGCUACAAUGCAGGGAGCAGCGUGCUUUCCCCCUCCGAAAGGAGUGGGUAACCCCAUGAAACCCCUCGCCCGAUUGGGAUUGGGGGUUGCAAUGGUUGCCCAUGAACGAGGAAUUCCUCGUAAGCGCGAGUCAUUAGCUCGCGAUGAAUACGUCCCUGCCCUUUGUACACACCGCCCGUCGCUACUACCGAUGAAUGAUUAAGUGAGAGCGUCGGACCGGCGCCCUCGGCAGCCCUCGGAUAACCGGAAUCGAUCUUUUUUCGAGAAGACGGUCUCGGCCCGAGUACAGCGCCCCGGGAAUCGCCGGAAAGACGUCCGAACUUGAUUAUUUAGAGGAAGUAAAAGUCGUAACAAGGUUACGGUAGGUGAACCUGCGG
Molecule: ribosomal RNA, 2007 nt
Filed under: Beatricesphaera ruthae
Lineage: Eukaryota; Metazoa; Arthropoda; Malacostraca; Isopoda; Sphaeromatidae
Description: SSU rRNA
Rfam family: Eukaryotic small subunit ribosomal RNA
Source: RNAcentral